UUCAGAACAUCUCUUUUUUCCAUAUCGUCUUCCAAAUUUCAUUCCUCUACUUCUUCCUCUUCUCUCAAACCUAGAAGAAAACCCUCGCUCUUCUUCAACCCACUUGAAGGUUCUAGAGUAGGGCUAGUGUUUAGGUUCGAGGGUUCUAGACUAGGGUUAGGGUUUAGGCAUAAAUGGGAGGGAAGUUCCGACAACUACGAUCACAUAAAAUCAGAGGUGAACUGCCCACGCUGUUCGAAGAUGAUGACAGUGUUAUUCUCUAACAGGCCGUUGUCGAUCACCGCCGGGGAGACUGGUAUUUACCAGGCGGUGAAUUUAUGUCCUCAUUGCCGGACAGCGUUUUACUUUAGACCGUUUAAGUUGGAGCCUUUGCAAGGGACUUUCAUUGAGAUUGGGAGGGUUAAGGGAGGUGAAAAGGAGAGUGACGAUGAAAUGGCUGGGAGUUCUGGGAAGAAUGAUGGCAAGAUUUGGGAAAAGUUGAGGUCUUAUAGUGGGACCAAUGGUAGUGAUGAUGGUGGACAGGGUACUUGUGAAACUGAAAUGAAGGAUUCGGAGGCGAGAAAGGAAGAAGGGUGGGGAGGUACUAAUUUGGGG
RNAcentral lists this unclassified non-coding RNA (594 nucleotides) under Hevea brasiliensis (rubber tree). Lineage: Eukaryota; Viridiplantae; Streptophyta; Magnoliopsida; Malpighiales; Euphorbiaceae. The record is from RNAcentral.